Long non-coding RNA from Homo sapiens (human), 376 nucleotides. Ensembl annotates it as long intergenic non-protein coding RNA 1609. NCBI's taxonomy places the organism in Eukaryota, Metazoa, Chordata, Mammalia, Primates, Hominidae. The record is from Ensembl.
GGCAGAGAGGGAAGGAACCAACAGGUAUAUGAAGAAGACUGUAUUUCCUCCUCAGGAAGAAAAAAUCACCUAUAAGAUCCAUGGCUAUAACUGCUACCAAGCUCUGGGCUGCAGUAGUGUAUCAUCCAUAACGCAAAUAAGAAUACAACAUAUAGCAUUGAUACAAAGGAUGCACUAAAGGAUGGACACAAAUGAAAGAACUGAGACAUGAAUUUGUUCUUAAGAAAAUUAUUCUCCAUUCUUUGAGAAGUCAACUGAAUAGGAUGAAGAAACUGCUCUAUGUUAUCAAGUUUUUAAAUUUUGUAUUUACUUAUUUACUUUUGUUGUUACUUAAAUCAACUUUAAAAUAAAAUAAAAUUUAUAUUUGAGUACAAAA